GGCCCGGGAGCGCGCCUGUGGGAUGGCGCGCGGGAAUAGGGCCCACACCCGUUUCGCAAGCGGCCGGCGGCUGAGGCCCGACAGCCCGCCCG
The submitters of this non-coding RNA (92 nucleotides) gave its source as unclassified sequences. The record is from Rfam.